UUCUUCUCUACUUCAUUAGCAAUAGCACUUCAGUGGUUUCAUCGAAUAGAUAAACAUUGGGUUCCGAUAAUGUCGAUGAAGUUGUAAGAGAAAUUCCAAGGUGCAAUGGCUUUUAUUUUAUGUUUGGGUUUAUCUAACUAUCAGUUUGCUUGUGGAUGGAAUACAUGUAUAUCUUUAUGUGUUUAAAUGCAGUUUUUCAAUUUGAAAUCUCAUUUCUCAUAUCUUCUUUGUCAUGCUCCAUCCUACCCCUUUCCCUGGCUCUGUUUGUCAUCAAACAGCAUGUGAGUAAAUUACAAUCAAACUCAGUUCAAGUUCUCAUAGGUAUCCCCAUAUGUGUCACUCACACACUAUAACAGUAUAACCAUGAUAUCGUCAACAUAAAACAUAGAUAUUUAUAGUUGUUUAAGUCAGAAUGUAUUGGGCAGAGCUGCAAACUAUGGCUUGAUGUGGUAUGACUUCACCUUUUCUUUUCUAUCUCCUUUUUGCCUCCUCCCAACAUUCAACGUUCUCUUUGUGAGAAGGGGGGGUACACCGCGCUUCACCUGGCCUCAAUCCACAGCCACCAGCACAUGGUCCUGGCCUUGAUCAACACUUACAAUGCUAAGACCAACAUCAGAGAUUACCAUGGGAAGAAGCCUGCUUACUACUGGAGUGGGCGUUCAGAUGCCUUCAACAUACCUGGAGCUCAGUCGGUGGCAAGUCCUGAUUGUAAACGUGAAGAGAUGUUUGGGAAGUUGGGCUAUGGAAGACGCUCCCAGCGCUACCCCCUGCCCGCCAUGCUGCUGUCCCGAUCUCGAAGCCAAGGCCAGCUCAGCACGGACUUCACCGCUGCCCCCCAGUCCCCUCGGCUCCAGAUCCUGGACAUCCCAAUGGCCUUUUAAAAAGGGGCUAAUGCCAGGUAAACCAGGCAAGAGAAGACACAGCUAAUGCAGCAUCAAGGUCCGACGUGUGCCAAAUCGGGACGCAAGAUGCUGAAAUGAAAAGAGAUCUCAUCAACCAAAUCCUCCAUCUAAGAUCGCUGAUAAAUUGUAAUCCAAUCCAGAAAACAUUCCGCUCAAUAAGCACCAUGGCUAUCCUACGACACACCCCAGCUAGGGUCGUACCUCGCUGAAAGCAGUGUUGGUAAGAGAUGAUUGAAUGCUUGAUUAGGGACGUACUCCUGCUUCCGUGGGGAUCUCCAGACAGUAACAGCAUACUUACUGCUGAAAAUGAGGAGUAUUAGGCUGUUGCUCCUCCCUGCCAUAUCCCAUUACAGCGUGUUAAACGCUAUGUAGCAGGCGCAACGCGAUUUAUUGUUUUGUCAACCAUGUAGCUUUUUUCAAUGGCUGAAAAUGACUAGCAACUAACGUGAAAUAUAUGGAUAUCUGUGAUAUUGUUAUUGCUCAGAGAUAUAUGAUGUUGGUUUUUUUGACGCAAUGAUGUAACCUUUGGUAAUCUAUUUCUAUCACCAUACCCUAACCAGACAAGCAUUUAAUGUCAAAAACAUUUUUACUUCACGUAUUGCUUACAUGAUUUUUGUGGACCGACUUCAGUAAGAAAAAAACAGAUAGGCCUACACUGUUUCAUCUUUUAAAUGAUGUUAUUUGUUAAUUGAUCUAAAUAUUGAUCUAAUUAAAUAGUACAUACUUUUAACCAUUCCGUUUUUAGAGCAGAUAUAUUUGAAAUCUAGUAGAAGAAUGUUUUUUAUUAUUUUGUUGUAAGAGUUUUACUGUGUACGUGUUUAUUUUUUUUAAAA
Molecule: long non-coding RNA, 1735 nt
Filed under: Gadus morhua (Atlantic cod)
Lineage: Eukaryota; Metazoa; Chordata; Actinopteri; Gadiformes; Gadidae
Description: lncRNA (ENSGMOG00000029926.1)
Source: RNAcentral